CACGUAGGGUGCGAGCGUUGUCCGGAAUUAUUGGGCGUAAAGAGCUCGUAGGCGGUGUGUCGCGUCGGCCGUGAAAACCUGCAGCUUAACUGUGGGCUUGCGGUCGAUACGGGCAUCACUGGAGUUCGGCAGGGGAGACUGGAAUUCCUGGUGUAGCGGUGAAAUGCGCAGAUAUCAGGAAGAACACCGGUGGCGAAGGCGGGUCUCUGGGACGGUACUGACGCUGAGACGCGAAAGCGUGGGGAGCGAACAGG
Molecule: ribosomal RNA, 254 nt
Filed under: uncultured bacterium
Lineage: Bacteria
Description: partial 16S ribosomal RNA
Rfam family: Bacterial small subunit ribosomal RNA
Source: RNAcentral